GUGUCAGCAGCCGCGGUAAGACAGAGGUGGCAAGCGUUGUUCGGAUUCAUUGGGUGUAAAGGGCAGGUAGGUGGUCAUGUAAGUCUGGUGUGAAAUCCCAGGGCUCAACCCUGGAACUGCAUUGGAAACUGCGUGACUUGAGUACCGGAGAGGUGAGGGGAAUUCUCGGUGUAAGGGUGAAAUCUGUAGAUAUCGAGAGGAACACCAGUGGCGAAGGCGCCUCACUGGCCGGUUACUGACACUGAGCUGCGAAAGCAAGGGGAGCAAACAGGAUUAGAUACCCUGGUAGUCC
This 292-nucleotide ribosomal RNA is filed under the name uncultured bacterium. Its description in RNAcentral is "partial 16S ribosomal RNA". It matches the Rfam family "Bacterial small subunit ribosomal RNA", at positions 505 to 796 of the family's 1533-position model. The record is from RNAcentral.